RNAcentral lists this transfer RNA (63 nucleotides) under Cavia porcellus (domestic guinea pig). It matches the Rfam family "tRNA", at positions 5 to 66 of the family's 71-position model. Rfam says of the family: Transfer RNA (tRNA) molecules are approximately 80 nucleotides in length. Their secondary structure includes four short double-helical elements and three loops (D, anti-codon, and T loops). The record is from Rfam by way of RNAcentral. Lineage: Eukaryota; Metazoa; Chordata; Mammalia; Rodentia; Caviidae.
AUAUAGCUCAAUGGCACAGCACUUGCCUUCCAAGCUUGAGGUCCUGGGUUCAAUUCCUGGUAU